This is a long non-coding RNA of Atta colombica, 944 nucleotides long. RefSeq lists it as uncharacterized. The transcript is spliced from 3 exons. The record is from RefSeq and is a predicted model, not a curated record. NCBI's taxonomy places the organism in Eukaryota, Metazoa, Arthropoda, Insecta, Hymenoptera, Formicidae.
UCUCUCUGUCGUCGGUGGUGGCGAAUCGUGCGCGACGGGAAAAGAGGGUCCUCUCGCGUGCCGGUUGUUGUCGUCGUCGACGUGCACGUCGCCGUCAUCGUUGUCGUCAUCAUAUUCGUUAUCGUGCUUCGGCGUCGAUCUCGUCGCGUGCGCAGUGUUCCCGUCUGGUGGAGAAUUGGCUCUCGGCCGUGCCGCUGGUUGGUUCGCGCCACGCGAAACUCGAGAGCGAUGGAAAUUCGUACGCGCGUGUCACGUCGCGGUGGUUGUUGCACCGUCGUUAAUCACCGAACGUGGCGCCAUAACGGGGCGCGUUCACCCGCGAUUAGAGUGUGAGAGAGUAGAGGAGUCGAUCGGAGGAUCUCCAUCGAUCGGUGAUUUAAGCACAUCGCCGGCUGUUAUUUCUCGAGAGGAGCCAGUGUUCGCGCGCGAUUCCUGUCGCUCCUCCUCGCGAUUGUGCUGUGCCACAGCUCGUGCCAUAACAGGAGAAGCAGGAAGGGAGGAGGUGAAGAAAAGAUGAUCCGCUACAGCCUGCGACUUUGUAUUCCUCGGGCAUCCCGGGACGACACCUUUACAUCUUCGUCAUGCCUCGGUUACGCUUCGUCUGCCUCUGUUAGACAAACCGACAGUUAGACAUUAGAACUCUCCGUUCCAUUUCCGGCAACGCAAAUCCAACCUUGUCCGACACGCAGGAACCGUCGGCUCCUUCGUUCAUACGAAGUUUGACACGGAAAUUUAUUCGCGCUUAACCGAUUUGGCAGUGGUUCAAGACGGAUGCUCCACCCACCCGAGAAGUCUGCCGCUGUUUUACGAUCGAAGUUCAGAACGACAUUUGCACGUCGGCUCUUUCGUCUCGGUUCCACAGCCGACACCGCCAUCGCCGCCCUCAUCCUUUGUACUAUUUCUUCGCUGCACCUUCUAUGAGGCCGGUUUCUCGGUUUCUCUCG